AUGAACGUUGGCGGCGUGGAUUAGGCAUGCAAGUCGUGCGCGAAUCGUAGCAAUACGAGGAGAGCGGCGAAAGGGAGAGGAUAGCAUAGAUACCUACCCUCGGACCUGGGAUAGCUAUGGGAAACUAUAGGUAAUACCAGAUAACGUCUCCGGACCAAAGGUGUGAUUCCGUCCGGGGAGGGGUCUAUGUCCUAUUAGCUUGUUGGUGAGGUAACGGCUCACCAAGGCCAAGAUGGGUACGAGGCGUGAGAGCGUGUCCUCGCUCACUGGGACUGAGACACUGCCCAGACACCUACGGGUGGCUGCAGUCGAGAAUCUUCGGCAAUGGGCGCAAGCCUGACCGAGCGACGCCGCGUGUGGGAUGAAGGCCUUCGGGUUGUAAACCACUGUCAGUGCGGAGGAAAUAUAGGGGGGUUCUCCCCUCUAUUUGACCUAUGCGCAGAGGAAGGGCGGGCUAAGUUCGU
This 464-nucleotide ribosomal RNA is filed under the name uncultured bacterium. RNAcentral describes it as "bacterial SSU rRNA". It matches the Rfam family "Bacterial small subunit ribosomal RNA", at positions 29 to 506 of the family's 1533-position model. The record is from RNAcentral.